CUGGGCUCGAAAUGCAGUGGACCGGGGUGGAAACAUCCCUUCCCCUUAAAAGGCUGCUGCAUAGGUGUUGCAUGGCUGUCGUCAGCUCGUGUCGUGAGAUGUUGGGUUAAGUCCCGCAACGAGCGCAACCCUUGUCUCAUGUUGCCAGCACGUAAUGGUGGGGACUCGUGAGAGACUGCUGGGGUCAACUCGGAGGAAGGUGGGGAUGACGUCAAGUCAUCAUGCCCCUUAUGUCCAGGGCUUCACACAUGCUACAAUGGCCGGUACAAAGGGCUGCGAUGCCGUGAGGUGGAGCGAAUCCUUGUAAAGCCGGUCUCAGUUCGGAUCGGGGUCUGCAACUCGACCCCGUGAAGUCGGAGUCGCUAGUAAUCGCAGAUCAGCAACGCUGCGGUGAAUACGUUCCC
This 404-nucleotide ribosomal RNA is filed under the name uncultured soil bacterium. RNAcentral's name for it is "bacterial SSU rRNA". It matches the Rfam family "Bacterial small subunit ribosomal RNA", at positions 975 to 1375 of the family's 1533-position model. The record is from RNAcentral.